This 197-nucleotide ribosomal RNA is filed under the name Canis aureus (golden jackal). RNAcentral's name for it is "partial small subunit ribosomal RNA". Lineage: Eukaryota; Metazoa; Chordata; Mammalia; Carnivora; Canidae. The record is from RNAcentral.
CCACUAUGCUUAGCCCUAAACAUAGAUAAUUUUACAACAAAAUAAUUCGCCAGAGGACUACUAGCAAUAGCUUAAAACUCAAAGGACUUGGCGGUGCUUUAUAUCCCUCUAGAGGAGCCUGUUCUAUAAUCGAUAAACCCCGAUAAACCUCACCACCCUUUGCUAAUUCAGUCUAUAUACCGCCAUCUUCAGCAAAC